GAGCGAAUGGAUUAAGAGCUUGCUCUUAUGAAGUUAGCGGCGGACGGGUGAGUAACACGUGGGUAACCUGCCCAUAAGACUGGGAUAACUCCGGGAAACCGGGGCUAAUACCGGAUAACAUUUUGAACCGCAUGGUUCGAAAUUGAAAGGCGGCUUCGGCUGUCACUUAUGGAUGGACCCGCGUCGCAUUAGCUAGUUGGUGAGGUAACGGCUCACCAAGGCAACGAUGCGUAGCCGACCUGAGAGGGUGAUCGGCCACACUGGGACUGAGACACGGCCCAGACUCCUACGGGAGGCAGCAGUAGGGAAUCUUCCGCAAUGGACGAAAGUCUGACGGAGCAACGCCGCGUGAGUGAUGAAGGCUUUCGGGUCGUAAAACUCUGUUGUUAGGGAAGAACAAGUGCUAGUUGAAUAAGCUGGCACCUUGACGGUACCUAACCAGAAAGCCACGGCUAACUACGUGCCAGCAGCCGCGGUAAUACGUAGGUGGCAAGCGUUAUCCGGAAUUAUUGGGCGUAAAGCGCGCGCAGGUGGUUUCUUAAGUCUGAUGUGAAAGCCCACGGCUCAACCGUGGAGGGUCAUUGGAAACUGGGAGACUUGAGUGCAGAAGAGGAGAGUGGAAUUCCAUGUGUAGCGGUGAAAUGCGUAGAGAUAUGGAGGAACACCAGUGGCGAAGGCGACUCUCUGGUCUGUAACUGACACUGAGGCGCGAAAGCGUGGGGAGCACACAGGAUUAGAUACCCUGGUAGUCCACGCCGUAAACGAUGAGUGCUAAGUGUGAGAGCGCUUUCCGCCCUUUAUUGCUGAAGUUAACGCAUUAAACACUCCGCCUGGGGAGACGGCCGCAGGGCUGAAACUCAAAGUAAUUGACCGGGGCCCGCACAAUCUGUGCAACAUGUGGUUUAAUUCAAAGCACCCCAAAAACUUACCGGGGGUGAGAUCCUCUAACACGCCUAAAAUUAGGUUUUUCCUUCCGAACAGACUAAAUU
Molecule: ribosomal RNA, 989 nt
Filed under: Bacillus tropicus
Lineage: Bacteria; Bacillati; Bacillota; Bacilli; Caryophanales; Bacillaceae
Description: bacterial SSU rRNA
Rfam family: Bacterial small subunit ribosomal RNA
Source: RNAcentral